UACGGGGGGGGCAAGCGUUGUUCGGAAUUACUGGGCGUAAAGGGCUCGUAGGCGGCCAACUAAGUCAGACGUGAAAUCCCUCGGCUUAACCGGGGAACUGCAUCUGAUACUGGAUGGCUUGAAUCCGGGAGAGGGAUGCGGAAUUCCAGGUGUAGCGGUGAAAUGCGUAGAUAUCUGGAGGAACACCGGUGGCGAAGGCGGCAUCCUGGACCGGCAUUGACGCUGAGGAGCGAAAGCCAGGGGAGCAAACGGG
RNAcentral lists this ribosomal RNA (253 nucleotides) under uncultured bacterium. RNAcentral's name for it is "partial 16S ribosomal RNA". It matches the Rfam family "Bacterial small subunit ribosomal RNA", at positions 524 to 776 of the family's 1533-position model. The record is from RNAcentral.